Carya illinoinensis is the source of this 1437-nucleotide long non-coding RNA. RefSeq lists it as uncharacterized. The record is from RefSeq and is a predicted model, not a curated record. NCBI's taxonomy places the organism in Eukaryota, Viridiplantae, Streptophyta, Magnoliopsida, Fagales, Juglandaceae. The transcript has 4 exons.
AUCUCGCCUCUACCUCACUUUCUCCAUUUUCUUCUUUCUUUCCUCUUCUACGUCUCUAGGUUUUUUAGAUAUUAGUUGUUGUCAAUAUUGCUCAUACACAUCACUGUAGAAUACCCUCACCUACCAAUUCACAAUACAACAUCAAGUGCUCCUUAUUUUUGUUGGUGCUUGAAAUCCAUCUCCGGUUUCAUUCAGUGAGUAUCAAGUUUUUUUCAUCCCUUUGAGAAGUAAAUCGAUAUCUUACCCUCAAGCCCAAUAAAGGUGGAUUCGAGUUUCUACUUUGUUGGGAACUAACGAAAUUCAUGCUCUCCUAUUUGAAAUAUGGAGGAUUUGUAAGUAUAAACAUUUAUCUACUAUUGUAGUGCAAUUAGAAGUAAUAUAUGAUACCAUUUUAAUGUAAUAUCCUAUUGUGUAAAUCGUUUCAAACUCAACAAUCAUCUUUAUGUUGGUCUCUUUCUAUUCAAUUACAAGGACAAUAAACUAUGAGACCAGACUAACUGUUCAGUACCAUUUUCGGAAUUAUUUUUCUUAUAUGCUUUGUAUAUUUCACCUUACAUUUCUCUUUUUAGUUUUACUAAUGGAAGUUUACAAACUAUUUAUGUAAUACCCGGCCCAAGCACGGAGGAAAACCAAGCCCAGGUGUGAAGCACACUAUUUAGUUCUUUUGUAAUGGAUUAGGUUGUUAAUUCGUUUCCUCUCCCCUAUGCCGACACCCCCUUCCCCUUUCCAUUUCCGUUACACCCCUACUCCAUUACUGUUACUUUCAUGUUGUACUUUACCCUCUCUGAUCCUCAAAUUCUCUGUGAACCGUUUCUUCUACUUGCCCUCUCUCUCUCUCUCUCAGUUGGGUUUUGUGCUACAUGCCUUUGCCUCCUUUUACUUCUCGGGUUCAGUUGAACAACGAUGUUCUCUCUCUCUCUCUCUCUCUCUCUCUCUGCUUUGUGUUACGAUUGACAGAGGCCACCUGAGUCAAUGUGCAUCUCUCGCCACCAAGGUAUACCCUGGUUUCUCAUCAUUUCUCUGUAUCAUAGGACAUCUCCAACGCCACUAGGCAACGUCGCAUCGCUUUCUAAUUCAACGGGCCAUUGCACGAAAUUAGGUUACGAUACUACUAGAGUUCGGAUCCAAGGCUUAAAUAAUAUACUGUAAGCAUCAGAUAAUUAUGAUGAUUCAGCUAGGAAGGAAGGCAAGAUUAGUUGGAAGGCAAGAUUAGUUGUGCCUAGUGGAAUGAGUACCAAAUGGUACAAGAGUUUACGGAGUCUUACUUGAAAGUCUUGUCACUUUCUUUGAAUGGUAUUUUGGAAUCUUGAUGGCUUUGUUGUAACUUUAAUUAUGGAGUUCUUUAUCAUUAUAUGUUGGAAGAGUUCGUUUUUAUUUGUGAAUGUAUACUUUUGAUUGGAGGAGUUUUAUGAGUUAUCUAGUUUUUUUCUUGUGUUA